Molecule: long non-coding RNA, 377 nt
Organism: Lemur catta (Ring-tailed lemur)
Lineage: Eukaryota; Metazoa; Chordata; Mammalia; Primates; Lemuridae
Exons: 3
Source: RefSeq, a predicted model, not a curated record
GCGAGAGUGCGCGGGCGAAGAGAGUUUUCCCCCAUCAAGUCUGGCUCAGAGGCACGAAGGGAGUUUAUGAUGAAUAAAAUGCUUAUGAACAAAGAAAAAAGUGCCUAUAGAGUACAUAAAGUAGCCUUGCUUUGAUUAAGAAAAGUUAACGUCUGGCAUCAACAUGGUGAAGUCACAAGGCCAAACAGAUCAGAACUGUUGCCAAGACGGAGGGUGCUGACUCUGCUGUGCACAUUGCACAACAAAACACAAUGCGUGGAACUUGAUCCAUAAAUACAAAUUUUCCUCUCAGUAGUAGUAUGUUUAAUCUCCCACAGGGCUCCCUUUUAGAAUUUGCUAGAUUCUUAAAGUCCUCCUAAAUCUGCAAUAUUAUCACU